This 253-nucleotide ribosomal RNA is filed under the name uncultured bacterium. RNAcentral's name for it is "partial 16S ribosomal RNA". It matches the Rfam family "Bacterial small subunit ribosomal RNA", at positions 524 to 776 of the family's 1533-position model. RNAcentral also lists the same sequence under 1 other name. The record is from RNAcentral.
UACGGAGGGUGCAAGCGUUAAUCGGAAUUACUGGGCGUAAAGGGUGCGUAGGUGGUUUAUUAAGUUAUCUGUGAAAUCCCUGGGCUCAACCUGGGCAGGUCAGAUAAGACUGGUAAACUCGAGUAUGGGAGAGGGCAGUGGAAUUUCCGGUGUAGCGGUGAAAUGCGUAGAGAUCGGAAGGAACACCAGUGGCGAAGGCGGCUGCCUGGCCUAAUACUGACACUGAGGCACGAAAGCGUGGGGAGCAAACAGG